GUGGCUGCAUUCAACAUGUGAUAGAUAUAUUUAAGUAAUUAGGGAAAUCUGCUAAACAAAGAAAAAUCACAACACUGCCAGUAUUUAAUAUUGUCUUUAUGAAAGCAACACCUAAAUGCCUUUUAUGCAUACAAGUCUCCAAAUGUGGGUUUUCUGGUUAUCUUCAAAUUUGACCUCCAUUAUAGCCAACAGAAAAAAGGCAGAGGCACGCAAAACAGGUGGCGGUCCACCACCACCACCUCUCACAGAGGCUGAAGAGAUGGCAUCUCUGGGGGGAGCUCAUCGGACCCAGCCACGCCCCAGGACACAGGGGCCUACAUAAGAGUUACUGAUGAUGGUGUAAUCUGUUUCGUGGAGCCUUCUGCCAUAACACACCUCCAUGCUGUUGUAAGUACUCUUAAUAUUCAACAGAUUUGUCAUAAUGGGUAGAAUAUAACACAAACAUUCUGUUUCAUUGCAGGAUGAUGAUGAAGACACCUUAUCAGCGGCCACAGAGAGGGAAGUAAUAACUUUGGUUUCAGUUAAUUGUUCCACAAUACAACUUGAAACUGCUUUCUCUCUAACAGAGCAAUGCCGGAAGUUACAAUGAGGAAGAAGGUCCAUCAACCUCCACAGCACAGCUUACCUCAGUAAUAUGUUGUUCAGCGUUGACCCACAACUUACAAUUACACUAAGUAGACAUGGCACUGUGAAAUUCAACGUCAUUUAUGUGCCUAUAGCUCCCUGUGAAACAACUUUACAAAGUAUAUAUUUAGAAGCCCAAAUAAACAAAUCACACCUAGAAAUGGAGCACAUAAGGCUGCAGAUCACCAAAACAAAAAAGGAAAUACAACUGCUGGACCAUCAGUUAAAGG
This is a long non-coding RNA of Gadus morhua (Atlantic cod), 854 nucleotides long. RefSeq lists it as uncharacterized. The transcript has 2 exons. The record is from RefSeq and is a predicted model, not a curated record. NCBI's taxonomy places the organism in Eukaryota, Metazoa, Chordata, Actinopteri, Gadiformes, Gadidae.